RNAcentral lists this ribosomal RNA (214 nucleotides) under Salmonella enterica. RNAcentral's name for it is "partial 23S ribosomal RNA". It matches the Rfam family "Bacterial large subunit ribosomal RNA", at positions 1134 to 1347 of the family's 2925-position model. Lineage: Bacteria; Pseudomonadati; Pseudomonadota; Gammaproteobacteria; Enterobacterales; Enterobacteriaceae. The record is from RNAcentral. RNAcentral also lists the same sequence under 42 other names.
GUAAUAGCUCACUGGUCGAGUCGGCCUGCGCGGAAGAUGUAACGGGGCUAAACCAUGCACCGAAGCUGCGGCAGCGACACUGUGUGUUGUUGGGUAGGGGAGCGUUCUGUAAGCCUGUGAAGGUGUGUCGUGAGGCAUGCUGGAGGUAUCAGAAGUGCGAAUGCUGACAUAAGUAACGAUAAAGCGGGUGAAAAGCCCGCUCGCCGGAAGACCA